UCGACCUGAGCUCAGGCAAGAUUACCCGCUGAACUUAAGCAUAUCAAUAAGCGGAGGAAAAGAAACUAACAAGGAUUCCCCUAGUAACGGCGAGCGAACCGGGAAUAGCCCAACUUGGAAAUCUCCCUCGGAGAAUUGUAGUCUAUAGAAGCGCCCUCUGCAGCGGCCGGGUCCCAAGUCCCCUGGAAGGGGGCGUCGUAGAGGGUGAGAACCCCGUCGGACCUUGGUGCGGCUGCCUCACGAGGUGCUUUCGAAGAGUCGGGUUGUUUGGGAAUGCAGCCCAAAGCUGGUGGUAAAUCCCAUCUAAGGCUAAAUACUGGCGAGAGACCGAUAGCGAACAAGUACCGCGAGGGAAAGAUGAAAAGAACUUUGAAAAGAGAGUUAAAAAGUGCUUGAAAUUGUUGAGGGGUAAGCGAUUGGCAGCUGCGUGUGCACCCAGGCUUACGCCGUUCUAACGAGCGGCUGCAUGCGCUGGGUGUUGGUCAGCAUGGGUUGGCUUGGCAGGAUAAACGCGGGGGUUGUUACCCCGUCUAUGCUGCCGGGCCGACCGAGGCGUGAAGGCCGCUCUUGUCCUUCGGGAUCUGCGGCCUCGAGAUGCUGGCGGAAGGCUUUCAAUCGGCCCGUCUUGAAACACGGACCAAGGAGUCUAACAUGUAUGCGAGCUGGUGGGUGGCAAACCCAUGAGGCGCAAGUAACCUGACUUUGGUGGGAUGGCCGCAAGGCCUGCACCAUCGACCGACCGUGAUCUUCUGUGAAAGGUUCGAGUACGAGCAUACCUGUUGGGACCCGAAAGAUGGUGAACUAUGCCUGAGCAGGGCGAAGCCGGAGGAAACUCCGGUGGAGGCUCGUAGAUGUGCUGACGUGCAAAUCGCUUUUCGGACUUGGGUAUAGGGGCGAAAGACUAAUCGAACCAUCUAGUAGCUGGUUCCCUCCGAAGUUUCCCCCAGGAUAGCUGGAGCUCAUAUAUCAGUUUUAUCGGGUAAAGCUAAUGAUUAGAGGUUCGGGGGAUGAAACAUCUUCCACCUAUUCUCAAACUUUAAAUAGGUAAGAUGCGUGAGUUUCUUAACUGAACUUACGCAGUCAAUGAGAGCUCCAAGUGGGCCAUUUUUGGUAAGCAGAACUGGCGAUGCGGGAUGAACCGAUAGUUGGGUUAAGGUGCCGGACUACGCGCUAACCUAGAUCCCACAAAGGGUGUUGAUUGAUACAGACAGCAGGACGGUGGUCAUGGAAGUCGAAAUCCGCUAAGGAGUGUGUAACAACUCACCUGCCGAAUCAAUUAGCCCCGAAAAUGGAUGGCGCUGAAGCGCGUGACCUAUACCCGGCCAUGGGAGCAAGUGCGAGGCUCCCAUGAGUAGGAGGGCGUGGGUGUCGCUGCGCAGCCUGGAGCGUGAGCUSGGGUGAAGCGGCACCUAGUGCAGAUCUUGGUGGUAGUAGCAAAUAUUCAAAUGAGAACUUUGAAGACUGAAGGGGAGAAA
RNAcentral lists this ribosomal RNA (1475 nucleotides) under Stigeoclonium variabile. RNAcentral describes it as "eukaryotic LSU rRNA". It matches the Rfam family "Eukaryotic large subunit ribosomal RNA", at positions 1 to 1504 of the family's 3401-position model. Lineage: Eukaryota; Viridiplantae; Chlorophyta; Chlorophyceae; Chaetophorales; Chaetophoraceae. The record is from RNAcentral.